RNAcentral lists this unclassified non-coding RNA (1656 nucleotides) under Daphnia pulex (common water flea). RNAcentral describes it as "uncharacterized LOC124199264, transcript variant X1". The record is from RNAcentral. Lineage: Eukaryota; Metazoa; Arthropoda; Branchiopoda; Diplostraca; Daphniidae.
CGUAUAAUAGUGCCUAAUUGUUUUUGUCAUUUAUAAGUGUAACCUAGAAGAUAAACGUGAUACAGUGGUGGCGAAGCUCGUACAUCUAUUCACUAUGCCCAACCUGCUGUGCUAUUAUUUCGAUUAUUUCAAUCAGAAGGAUUUCAUUAGAACUUCUUAUAAGAGCAAUGCAUUAAUAUCGGGUGUGUUCAAGUGGAUUCUGGUCGUGAUUAUCGUGUGCAUUUGUACCCGAAAUCAGCGUAUUUCCAAAAUAGGAAAAGAGUCUCCGGCUCCGGUGAUGUGCUCGGGGAAUUUACUAGACCAAAGGGAUCACCACUACGCCAAAGAAGCUGAUGGAUCGUACGACAACAGUCGAAUGAUAUCCAAAUUGGGAUCUUGCCACCUGAUGCCUUACACUUUUAAUCAAGUAGUUGGCUGUUUUAAUGAUUUGCUUAAUGAAAAUAAUGAGCGAUACUACUUAGACCGGAAUCCUUCUAAUAAUCUGAACUUCAUCAAGAGACCCAAUAAAAAUUUGCAUUUUGCAUUCAUAGGCGAUUCCAGAAUUCGACAACAAUUUUUUAACUUGCUCAAGUUGAUUCCAGACUACGACCGGAAAUCAGAACCGAGCCCACUCCCAUUUGUUUAUCACGGUGAUAUGGAAGUUACUAGUGAGAUAAUGAGACUACGCUUAUCCUUUCAAUGGCGACCUCUAAUUAAUGACAGUGUUACCGAUACGAUACGUCAGUGGGCAACUUAUAGUCAAACUGAUCGACCAGACUUGAUUAUUCUAGGUAUUGCCAUGUGGCAUAUGUUUUCAACGCCGAAAGAAGACGACCAUCAACUUUAUCGGAAACAACUGAAGCGACUCGCUCCGUUCCUCGGCCAGUUGGCGAAUGUCAGCAAAGUUAUUUGGCUCAACCAAUACCCAGUCGUGGAAAAGUAUGGUGACAUUGGCGCUAUGAACACGGAGGUUUUUUCGGAAAAGAUCGAUCACUAUAAUGAUGCCGUUCGGUCUGAACUUCAGAAUUAUCCAGAAAUGCGAAUCUUGUGGGAUUCAAGUAAUUCAUUAGUUGAGGAAUACAUCCGCGGAUGUGUUGUCUUUCAACAGCGCCUGCAACUUGGAGUGUACCUGGUCACAGAUCCAGACUAUUCCUAUAUUAACUGCAAUGAUUGCAGACACCCAGGGUACUCGGCCCUGUCGCAAGCCACUCAACUUCUUUUAAAUGACCUUUGCAACGGCCAACAUUUAAAUUUCCCCCUUAAAUAAUAUCGGCAUUCACAUUUUGAUACCUUUUCCCUUUCACAUAUUAGGCUUGUGAACGCUACUACCCAUGGCAAGUGAAUACUCCGAACUUUAUCAAAUCCACCCAGAAGCACAUCAUACCCAUUGGCAACUAUUCCAAGGACUGGGGCAAAAGACAGAGACAGGCACAUCCGCUACAUCCGCACAGACGUCGUCUAUAAACUUGCGUGGCAAGUACACUCUCUAUGUUUAUUACCUUUUAUACAUAAAGCCACGCCUUUUAAUCAACCGCAGUAAUAAUCACUUGGAAUUAGUUGCCAUACUAAACGAAUAAGCAGCCAUAGCGAUAACAUAACAUCAGUGAGAAAUAACAUCCCUAAACAGAUUGUAAUGACUUCCGAGAGCAAUAAAUUUAUUUGCCUAAAGACAACAAA